GGGUGUGAGGAGGGUGUUCGAGUUGGUUUGUCCUCCCUCACUGCUCCAUGUGUGUCUCUCCAGAGUAAUUGUGUUGUCCGAGAGGAUGGUCUUCUCUGAUAACUAGAGGAGGACUGAUCUUGGUCAAGGUGCAGCAUAGUGUCUGCACUGCCCUGCCAGAGCCUCAGCAUGCUUUCAGGAAUGUUAAAGAAGGGGGCGAUGGAGAAGAAAUGGCUCUUUUCUGCCGCUGUCCCGCAGCACCAUUCUCU
Mesocricetus auratus (golden hamster) is the source of this 248-nucleotide unclassified non-coding RNA. Its record names the gene 7SK. It matches the Rfam family "7SK RNA". From Rfam's summary of the family: 7SK was discovered as an abundant small nuclear RNA in the mid-70s but a possible function has only recently been suggested. Two independent studies have found that 7SK RNA binds the CDK9/cyclin T complex (known as elongation factor P-TEFb). NCBI's taxonomy places the organism in Eukaryota, Metazoa, Chordata, Mammalia, Rodentia, Cricetidae. The record is from Ensembl.